Molecule: long non-coding RNA, 85 nt
Organism: Sinocyclocheilus anshuiensis
Lineage: Eukaryota; Metazoa; Chordata; Actinopteri; Cypriniformes; Cyprinidae
Exons: 3
Source: RefSeq, a predicted model, not a curated record
AAAUUACAUUUUGUGCACUUAAUUGUUCCCCCUUUACUCGUACUGCACAAAAAGUGGUUCAAUAGCAUUGAAUGUUACAGGGACA